Molecule: ribosomal RNA, 330 nt
Filed under: Triticum aestivum (bread wheat)
Lineage: Eukaryota; Viridiplantae; Streptophyta; Magnoliopsida; Poales; Poaceae
Description: partial small subunit ribosomal RNA
Source: RNAcentral
AUGCUUAAGUGUGUCCGAAUCAUGUUAGCAAUUUCCACAUUUUAUGAUUAUGAAAUAUGGCAAAUGGACGUUAAAACUGCAUUCCUUAAUGGAUUCCUUAAAGAAGAGUUGUGUAUGAUGCAACCAGAAGGUUUUGUCGAUCCUAAAGGUGCUAACAAAGUGUGUAAGCUACAGCGAUCCAUCUAUGGACUGGUGCAAGCAUCUCAGAGUUGGAAUAUACGCUUUGAUGAGCUGAUCAAAGCAUAUGGUUUUAUACAGACUUACGGUGAAGCAUGUAUUUACAAGAAAGUGAGUCGGAGCUCUGUAGCAUUUCUGAUAUUAUGUGGAUGA